RNAcentral lists this ribosomal RNA (497 nucleotides) under uncultured bacterium. RNAcentral's name for it is "partial 16S ribosomal RNA". It matches the Rfam family "Bacterial small subunit ribosomal RNA", at positions 29 to 507 of the family's 1533-position model. The record is from RNAcentral.
AAUGAACGCUGGCGGCGUGCCUAAUACAUGCAAGUCGAGCGAACGGACGAGCAGCUUGCUUCUCUGAUGUUAGCGGCGGACGGGUGAGUAACACGUGGAUAACCUACCUAUAAGACUGGGAUAACUUCGGGAAACCGGAGCUAAUACCGGAUAAUAUUUUGAACCGCAUGGUUCAAAAGUGAAAGACGGUCUUGCUGUCACUUAUAGAUGGAUCCGCGCUGCAUUAGCUAGUUGGUAAGGUAACGGCUUACCAAGGCAACGAUGCAUAGCCGACCUGAGAGGGUGAUCGGCCACACUGGAACUGAGACACGGUCCAGACUCCUACGGGAGGCAGCAGUAGGGAAUCUUCCGCAAUGGGCGAAAGCCUGACGGAGCAACGCCGCGUGAGUGAUGAAGGUCUUCGGAUCGUAAAACUCUGUUAUUAGGGAAGAACAUAUGUGUAAGUAACUGUGCACAUCCUGACGGUACCUAAUCAGAAAGCCACGGCUAACUACGUG